AGUGAACGCUGGCGGUAGGCCUAACACAUGCAAGUCGAACGGCAGCACAGUAAGAGCUUGCUCUUACGGGUGGCGAGUGGCGGACGGGUGAGGAAUACAUCGGAAUCUACUUUUUCGUGGGGGAUAACGUAGGGAAACUUACGCUAAUACCGCAUACGACCUACGGGUGAAAGCAGGGGAUCUUCGGACCUUGCGCGAUUGAAUGAGCCGAUGUCGGAUUAGCUAGUUGGCGGGGUAAAGGCCCACCAAGGCGACGAUCCGUAGCUGGUCUGAGAGGAUGAUCAGCCACACUGGAACUGAGACACGGUCCAGACUCCUACGGGAGGCAGCAGUGGGGAAUAUUGGACAAUGGGCGCAAGCCUGAUCCAGCCAUACCGCGUGGGUGAAGAAGGCCUUCGGGUUGUAAAGCCCUUUUGGUGGGAAAGAAAAGCAGCAGGUUAAUACCCCGCUGUUCUGACGGUACCCAAAGAAUAAGCACCGGCUAACUUCG
Molecule: ribosomal RNA, 490 nt
Filed under: uncultured bacterium
Lineage: Bacteria
Description: partial 16S ribosomal RNA
Rfam family: Bacterial small subunit ribosomal RNA
Source: RNAcentral